UUACAUGAAUGAGAUUUUGAAAGAGUCAUGUUCAUUACAUAAAUGCGAUAUUUUGAAAGAGUAUCCCAUCCAAUGAAAAUACUUUUAAGUAUCUACUUUAUACGAAAGUGGAUUACGGAUGCAUAUACAUAAAGUAUGUAUUAAUUGUAGGGGCAAGCCGGUGGCAAAAGCUGGUAGGUAAUCGGACAAAAGUGAAGUGCAUGGUGGAUUGUUGUCGUCGAUCGGGUCCAAGUCCAAACGAUCAGAAAGCGCCCGUUCAUCUAAUGCACCCCACUUGCACCAUUUAACACCUCUCCUAUCGAUUUGUAUGUAAUACAGACACUCGCACAUCUGUAGACCGACCAAAAUUGUUUCUUAUCGCCAAAAGAAUAAUAUCAUUUGGUGUAUACGUAUGGUGUACAAAAUUUCCGGAACAAUACAUAUACAUAUGCAAACAUGGAUGUUUAUUAUAUAAAACCCACAUGGAAUAUCU
Molecule: long non-coding RNA, 472 nt
Filed under: Brassica napus (rape)
Lineage: Eukaryota; Viridiplantae; Streptophyta; Magnoliopsida; Brassicales; Brassicaceae
Description: long non-coding RNA (BNAP_LNC023511)
Source: RNAcentral